RNAcentral lists this ribosomal RNA (377 nucleotides) under uncultured bacterium. RNAcentral's name for it is "bacterial SSU rRNA". It matches the Rfam family "Bacterial small subunit ribosomal RNA", at positions 521 to 896 of the family's 1533-position model. The record is from RNAcentral.
UAAGACAGAGGGUGCAAACGUUGUUCGGAAUUACUGGGCGUAAAGCGCGUGUAGGCGGCUCGGAAAGUCGGAUGUGAAAGCCCUGGGCUUAACCUAGGAAGUGCAUUCGAAACUCCCGAGCUUGAGUUCUGGAGAGGAAGGCGGAAUUCUCGGUGUAGAGGUGAAAUUCGUAGAUAUCGAGAGGAACACCGGUGGCGAAGGCGGCCUUCUGGACAGUGACUGACGCUGAGACGCGAAAGCGUGGGGAGCAAACAGGAUUAGAUACCCUGGUAGUCCACGCCGUAAACGAUGAGUGCUAGGUGUCGCGGGCUUUGACCCCUGCGGUGCCGCAGCUAACGCAUUAAGCACUCCGCCUGGGGAGUACGGCCGCAAGGCUA